RNAcentral lists this ribosomal RNA (232 nucleotides) under uncultured bacterium. Its description in RNAcentral is "partial 16S ribosomal RNA". It matches the Rfam family "Bacterial small subunit ribosomal RNA", at positions 250 to 499 of the family's 1533-position model. The record is from RNAcentral.
UGGUGGGGUAAUGGCCUACCAAGACUGUGAUCAAUAGCUGAUUUGAGAGGAUGAUCAGCCACAUUGGGACUGAGACACGGCCCAAACUCCUACGGGAGGCAGCAGUGGGGAAUCUUGCACAAUGGAGGAAACUCUGAUGCAGCGAUGCCGCGUGAGUGAAGAAGGCCCUUGGGUUGUAAAGCUCUUUCGUCGGGGAAGAAAAUGACUGUACCCGAAUAAGAAGGUCCGGCUA